This 497-nucleotide ribosomal RNA is filed under the name uncultured bacterium. RNAcentral describes it as "partial 16S ribosomal RNA". It matches the Rfam family "Bacterial small subunit ribosomal RNA", at positions 28 to 507 of the family's 1533-position model. The record is from RNAcentral.
GAUGAACGCUGGCGGCGUGCCUAAUACAUGCAAGUCGAGCGAACGGACGAGAAGCUUGCUUCUCUGAUGUUAGCGGCGGACGGGUGAGUAACACGUGGAUAACCUACCUAUAAGACUGGGAUAACUUCGGGAAACCGGAGCUAAUACCGGAUAAUAUUUUGAACCGCAUGGUUCAAAAGUGAAAGACGGUCUUGCUGUCACUUAUAGAUGGAUCCGCGCUGCAUUAGCUAGUUGGUAAGGUAACGGCUUACCAAGGCAACGAUGCAUAGCCGACCUGAGAGGGUGAUCGGCCACACUGGAACUGAGACACGGUCCAGACUCCUACGGGAGGCAGCAGUAGGGAAUCUUCCGCAAUGGGCGAAAGACUGAUGGAGCAACGCCGCGUGAGUGAUGAAGGUCUUCGGAUCGUAAAACUCUGUUAUUAGGGAAGAACAUAUGUGUAAGUAACUGUGCACAUCUUGACGGUACCUAAUCAGAAAGCCACGGCUAACUACGUG